This 30-nucleotide small RNA is filed under the name Bombyx mori (domestic silkworm). Its description in RNAcentral is "ovarian small RNA-4085". The record is from RNAcentral. Lineage: Eukaryota; Metazoa; Arthropoda; Insecta; Lepidoptera; Bombycidae.
UUCUUCAAUAAAUCUUAUUGCAACGUGUGC